GACACAAGGGAUUUAAAAUCCCUCGACUUUCGAGUCGUGCCGGUUCAAGUCCGGCCCGGGGCACCA
RNAcentral lists this transfer RNA (66 nucleotides) under Vibrio cholerae HC-02C1. RNAcentral describes it as "partial tRNA-OTHER". Lineage: Bacteria; Pseudomonadati; Pseudomonadota; Gammaproteobacteria; Vibrionales; Vibrionaceae. The record is from RNAcentral.